Long non-coding RNA from Melanotaenia boesemani (Boeseman's rainbowfish), 559 nucleotides. RefSeq lists it as uncharacterized. The transcript is spliced from 3 exons. The record is from RefSeq and is a predicted model, not a curated record. Lineage: Eukaryota; Metazoa; Chordata; Actinopteri; Atheriniformes; Melanotaeniidae.
AAAAAAAAAAAAUCAUGGGCAAAUGUCCUUAUCUCCAAAAUGUGCUCCUUCCAUGUCAUGUUACUGUUACAUAAUUGAAAACAGGUCCUGUUCAGAUAUCAGUUACCAAUCAUUUUUGUUAUUAGAAGUGUUAGCAUUAUUUAGAACUUUUUCCUCAUGGCAAUAUCAAGAUGUGAACAGAGAAUAAGAUGUCUGUUAAGAAUUAUUACCAUCUUUUCAUUCAUUUCAGAAUGCCCCAUUCAUCAAGGUCUAAGCGUUUUCCCCUACAAAAGGAUUCUGAGUCAAAGACUCAGAGAGGGUUGUGUCGAGGUGUUGGUGGAGUGGCAACCUUGCUCUGGAUGUGGAGCAAAGUGGAAAAACUCCUGGGAGCCCAAAGACAACGUUCUUCCUUAAAAAAAAUUGUUAAAAUUGUGUUUGUUGUGUUAUGUGACACAAAUUUGUUUUGGUAAGUUGUUUGUUUUCUGUUGUUGGGAAGGUAAUAAACAUAUUGUUUUACUUUCAAACACUUUGUCAUUGUGUUAUAUUAUUGUUGGAUGCAUUUCAUGUAAUUCUGGGAAGC